Molecule: long non-coding RNA, 735 nt
Organism: Helianthus annuus (common sunflower)
Lineage: Eukaryota; Viridiplantae; Streptophyta; Magnoliopsida; Asterales; Asteraceae
Exons: 5
Source: RefSeq, a predicted model, not a curated record
GGAUGAAGCAUCUGAUGGUGAUGCAAUGGAUAUUGAAGCUGUUGGUAACUCUGAUCUUGAUGCUCAAUUGGAUUCCUUGAGAACAAAACUUAUCUUGGCUGAACAGGAGUCUGCUAAAUUGAAGAGAGAGAUACAUGCAUUGUAAAGACAGUCUGUUAAUAGUAACCACCAAGCAGCUUCAGUCAAUGAAUUAAUGAAGUUGUCUGAGUAAAUUUCUGAGGAUGAUGCAUUCAAAGAAUUGAUGAGCAGGUCAAUCGCUAUUUGUAAUUGAAACCCUAACUAUCAAAAAGCGAUUCUGAUUCCAUCAAUCUUGCCUAAAAUCUGGUGUGUUCUUCGAUCUAAACAGGUAUCUUGAAUCAUUACGAUAUAAGUCCUAACCUUUUCAUUUUAUAAGUGAUUUUCAUGAUUGUGAAGAAUCGGUUCUCGGCCAUCAACAACCAAGUUUCAGGAGCUGAACUCUGAGCCGGUUAUACCCGAGGGUUUUCCCGAAUGGAAAGAGACUAUGGAUUCAUGGGUUUCUAAAAUGGUGUCCGUUAUAGAGGUGUGUCAUUAGCACCGAUUCCACAGUAAGGAUUUAAGAGACAAACUGAUUAAAUUUAUCGAGGAACAUGUUUAUCCAAUGGAGCAAGAGUUCAGUAAGCUCGCUCAAUCGUCCAUGCGUUGGACGGUUCAUCCACAAGAGGAAAAAUUGAAAGAGAUUGCAAAGAAAGAAGGCCUGUGGAAUCUUUUUAUACC